Molecule: precursor RNA, 647 nt
Filed under: Oryza rufipogon (brownbeard rice)
Lineage: Eukaryota; Viridiplantae; Streptophyta; Magnoliopsida; Poales; Poaceae
Description: putative precursor microRNA R395ab
Rfam family: mir-395 microRNA precursor family (bases 566-647)
Source: RNAcentral
UUUUUUGCUCCACAUAUGCAUGCUUUCUACGAUUCGGAGAUCAGUGCAGCCCAAAGAUCACAUUGGAUUCUCCUCACUACACUCCAUCUUCUAACUUAGUCUGCAUCACGGCUAGGUGCAUCCGUUGCCAAGUUCAUCCAAUAUAUGCCAACCGCAUUGCAAGGACGACCAUAUGCACACACACACCACAGUCCACAGGAGACAGAUAGCUAGCUAGCUUACUCUUUAGUCAUACGUACACUUAUAAAUAGCCACCGGCUCUGUGCUCAUCAGCAAGGCAGAUUAAACAAGUGAAGUGGUCCACAUCAAAAAUGAAGUAAUCAGGUCUAGGGAGUCAAAAUUUGGUUGGUUGUCCACUGGAGUUCUCCUCAAUCCACUUCAGUAGAUAGCUAUGGCUAGGCCUCAUUGCAUUGCACUGUUACAUAACUGUGAUCAUGGGGCCAAAAGCUAGCUAUGUAUAGUGAAGUGCUUGGGGGAACUCCAGUUGACACUCAGCAUUUUCAAGUUAGGUAUGUAAGUGCUUGUACUUUAUGAAUUUGUAAGUGACAGAGAAUGAUUAGGUUUGGAGUCCCUAGGAGUUCCUUUCAAGCACUUUACGACACACUGUAUUGAGAGUUGUCGUGAAGUGUUUGGGGGAACUCUUAGUG